RNAcentral lists this long non-coding RNA (829 nucleotides) under Nicotiana tabacum (common tobacco). RNAcentral's name for it is "long non-coding RNA (NTAB_LNC006966)". Lineage: Eukaryota; Viridiplantae; Streptophyta; Magnoliopsida; Solanales; Solanaceae. The record is from RNAcentral.
CGCAGUGCUACUAUUUAUAAGUAGUAUUUAUCUAAUUUCUCAUUAAUUCCAGAAUUUAUCAUUUACUAAAUGGAAAUAACAUAGUAAAAAUGGAAGGUAACAACAAAAAUUUUCACCGACGAUCACAUAACUAAGAACUAAUACUACAUUGAGAUAAUAUUCAUUACAAACUCCGUAAACUAAAACACCGAAAUAAAAUAAAAUUGAUUCAACAACAUGAGGUCGAAUCAAAAUACAAAUAAUUUUAGUAACUGCUUCCUCAAACACUAAUGUAACCACUCGUCUAGUAAAGUUGUUCUUGAAUAAAUUUACACUUUCAUGUACCUGUUGAAGAAAAAAACAAUUUUAGUACAUACUUUUUGAUGAACAAGAUUUAGCCAAAAAAUAACAUAUCAUAUUUUAAUUAGUGAAACAAAUAAUAGAAUGACAAAUUAGUACUGGUAGAAAGAUGCUUACUCGAAGUUAGACAAUAAAUAUUAAUUCUUCUUUGACUGCAAAUAACCACAAGAAUUAAGAAGAAGAGAUAUAAAAUUAAGAGUACUUAAUCUUUCAAAAAAUAAAGAAUAAUAGACAAAUUUCUUCGUACCUCUACAAUAAAAUUAAAUCAAUAAGAACCCACAAAUACAUACACGUAAUAUGUCAUCUAGAGAAACCCAAAUUUUUAUUGCCCUACAACUGAAAGAAAAAGAAUUUCGUAUGAGAGACGCAACAGAAAAAUAAAUUGAAGUACAAAUAAUAUUUCUUUAACUUAGCUUGAGGAUUUGUAUCAAAGCAAAGGAGGCAUCAGAAGUGGCUUUGCGUCUUAAAAUGCCCAUCACGCGAAUUUGAU